ACGAACGCUGGCGGCGUGCUUAACACAUGCCCGUCGAACGGAAAGGCCCUGCUUGCAGGGUACUCGAGUGGCGAACGGGUGAGUAACACGUGGGUGAUCUGCCCUGCACUUCGGGAUAAGCCUGGGAAACUGGGUCUAAUACCGGAUAGGAGCCAUUUUUAGUGUGAUGGUUGGAAAGUUUUUUCGGUGUAGGAUGAGCUCGCGGCCUAUCAGCUUGUUGGUGGGGUAAUGGCCUACCAAGGCGGCGACGGGUAGCCGGCCUGAGAGGGUGGACGGCCACAUUGGGACUGAGAGACGGCCCAGACUCCUACGGGAGGCAGCAGUGGGGAAUAUUGCACAAUGGGCGCAAGCCUGAUGCAGCGACGCCGCGUGGGGGAUGACGGCCUUCGGGUUGUAAACUCCUUUCGCUAGGGACGAAGCUUUUUGUGACGGUACCUAGAUAAGAAGCACCGGCUAACUACGUG
RNAcentral lists this ribosomal RNA (464 nucleotides) under uncultured bacterium. RNAcentral's name for it is "partial 16S ribosomal RNA". It matches the Rfam family "Bacterial small subunit ribosomal RNA", at positions 29 to 507 of the family's 1533-position model. The record is from RNAcentral.